Non-coding RNA from Durio zibethinus, 966 nucleotides. The record is from RefSeq and is a predicted model, not a curated record. NCBI's taxonomy places the organism in Eukaryota, Viridiplantae, Streptophyta, Magnoliopsida, Malvales, Malvaceae.
UUCAAGAUUUUAAAGCAAUUUAGAAUUGUUUUGGUUGCUUUCAACCAUGUCUAAUGUGCAAUGGAUUUUAUUAAAUUCUUGAGGUAAAUUUUCUUGCUUUGCAGUGUCUCACUUGCUUCUCAUUAUGUUAAUUUAUUUUGUUAUUAAGAUAUUGAAUUAUAUGCAAUUUAUCCAGAAAGUAGAAUUUUCAUUUCUUCUUAUGCUUGAUUCUAGAAUUGCAGGAAGAAUUUUUAUUGGUUGAGUUUGGUGAAAUUUGCUUCAAUGGGUGAGGCUUUGUAUUUUUUAUUAAUUAUUUUUGUUCUUGUUUUUUGUGAAAUUUUAUGUAUAUUUUUAAAGAGGGAAAAUCAUUGUAGUCAAGCUUCUUUUAUCUAACUAUCAAUUGUUGUUGGGUAAAAUUUGAUGUAUAUUUUUAGAAAUAGAAAGUUGUUCAAAAUUAUAUAUAUUUAAAUUGUUAAUAAUAUUUCUUUUAUGUCUUGCUUUGAAUUGGUAAACCAAUUAUCAAUGUCAGAAAGCUUGUGAGUUAUCAAAAACUUUUUCUGCAUUAAUUCUUUUUCAUUGGGGUAAAUUUAAUCAGCAGAUAAGAUAUAGACCAUAUGUUGUUUGUGAACCAUUUCUUACAGAAGAAUGAAAGUGAUAUUAUGGUGAUUGAUGCUCAAUGUGCUCCAAAGGAUUUUCAAGCCAGAUUUAAAGCUUAGGCUCACAUAGGCUAAUCAUUUCAUACAUUACGUAAUUCCGGUUCUAAGAGUAAAUUCUGAUCCUACACAAUCUGAAUAGGUUUAGCGUGCACCAUUGGUUUUUAUAGCUCUUUAAAUGCAACUGAAAACUAUUUUCAUUUUUAUUUUUUCUUUAUGCUUUUACAGUUGGAUUUGUUUGAAUGUGUUGUAUUUUUAGAAUUUUUUUUAUCUUAUGAAAUUCAAUCCAUAUUUAUAUGGUAGCUAUGGAUUAAUCUGUUGUAAUAUUGAUGGU